CUUCGAAGCCCCUUUUAUUGAAGUUGGAUCCUAUUUCCAGAAGAGGACCAGUAUUGUAUGGAAUGAUUUUGAUAGAGUUUUAGUUGAUGGAGUCUAUAAGGUAAAAUAUAAAAAAAUAUUAAAUUAUAUAGUUAUGCCAGCUCUGAAGGAUCUGGUCAUUUGAAGAGACAUCAAGAAUCUCGUAAGGUAAGUGAUUCUCAUCUUCAAAGCACCCUUAAUACACAAGGAGAUGCCCUU
RNAcentral lists this long non-coding RNA (237 nucleotides) under Elaeis guineensis (African oil palm). RNAcentral's name for it is "long non-coding RNA (EGUI_LNC013782)". The record is from RNAcentral. Lineage: Eukaryota; Viridiplantae; Streptophyta; Magnoliopsida; Arecales; Arecaceae.